UGAAGCCUGAUUGAUCGGCAUGGAUUAGCCCUGGCAGUAUGGGGCGAAGCCUGUUGGCCAGGAUUUUCGUGAAUAGCUUAAGAUCUGUGUUUAUUAGGGAGAUUGGUCUGUAACUACCGCAUUGGGUUAGGUCUAUGCCUGGUUUUGGUAGUAAGGUGAUCGUUGCGUUUAAUGCCUGGGGGGGGAGGGACUGACCUUGGUGUAGUGAGUUGAAGGAUUUGACGAAGUGGGGUAUAAGGGUUUCAGCGAAUGUUUUGUAAUAUUUGGUGGUGAGCCCGUCCGGGCCUGGGCUCUUCCCUAUUGGGAGAUGUUUGAUUGCGUGCCUGCAUUCCUCCUCUGUGAUGGGGAGUUCUAGGGUUAGGUUUAGAUUAUUUGGUAUAGUGGCGUGAAUUCUUUUCAUGAGAUAGGUUUGUAUGUCUUGUGCCGAGGGGGGAGUUUGUCGUAUGUUGUAUAGGGAGUGGUAAUAG
Molecule: non-coding RNA, 467 nt
Organism: Pelobates cultripes (western spadefoot toad)
Lineage: Eukaryota; Metazoa; Chordata; Amphibia; Anura; Pelobatidae
Source: the annotation of a GenBank genome assembly